Molecule: ribosomal RNA, 495 nt
Filed under: uncultured bacterium
Lineage: Bacteria
Description: partial 16S ribosomal RNA
Rfam family: Bacterial small subunit ribosomal RNA
Source: RNAcentral
GACGAACGCUGGUGGCGUGCCUAAUACAUGCAAGUAGAACGCUGAAGGAGGAGCUUGCUCUUCUGGAUGAGUUGCGAACGGGUGAGUAACGCGUAGGUAACCUGCCUGGUAGCGGGGGAUAACUAUUGGAAACGAUAGCUAAUACCGCAUAACAGUAGAUGUUGCAUGACAUUUGCUUAAAAGGUGCAAUUGCAUCACUACCAGAUGGACCUGCGUUGUAUUAGCUAGUUGGUGGGGUAACGGCUCACCAAGGCGACGAUACAUAGCCGACCUGAGAGGGUGAUCGGCCACACUGGGACUGAGACACGGCCCAGACUCCUACGGGAGGCAGCAGUAGGGAAUCUUCGGCAAUGGACGGAAGUCUGACCGAGCAACGCCGCGUGAGUGAAGAAGGUUUUCGGAUCGUAAAGCUCUGUUGUAAGAGAAGAACGAGUGUGAGAGUGGAAAGUUCACACUGUGACGGUAUCUUACCAGAAAGGGACGGCUAACUACGUG